This 76-nucleotide transfer RNA is filed under the name Sphaerodactylus townsendi. RNAcentral's name for it is "tRNA-Ala". The record is from RNAcentral. Lineage: Eukaryota; Metazoa; Chordata; Lepidosauria; Squamata; Sphaerodactylidae.
CUUCAUGGCUCAGUGAAAAAGUAUCUGUUUUGCAUACAGAAGGUCUCAAGUUCAAUCCCAGAAUCUUGUGAAAAGA